AGAGUUUGAUCCUGGCUCAGAGCGAACGCUGGCGGCGUGCUUAACACAUGCAAGUCGAACGCGCAGCAUUCUGUAGCAAUACAGGGUGUGGGCGCGUGGCGAACGGGUGCGUAACACGUGGAUAACCUUCCUUCAGGUGGGGAAUAACCCAGUGAAAAUUGGGCUAAUACCGCAUAACAUGACGAUGGCACAUGCUGUUGUCUUCAAAGGCGCAAGUCGCCAGAAGAGGGAUCCGCGGCCGAUUAGCUUGUUGGCGAGGUAAUGGCUCACCAAGGCAUUGAUCGGUAGCCGGACUGAGAGGUUGACCGGCCACACUGGAACUGAGACACGGUCCAGACUCCUACGGGAGGCAGCAGUGGGGAAUCUUGCACAAUGGACGAAAGUCUGAUGCAGCAACGCCGCGUGGGGGAUGAAGCUUCUCGGAGUGUAAA
RNAcentral lists this ribosomal RNA (431 nucleotides) under uncultured bacterium. Its description in RNAcentral is "bacterial SSU rRNA". It matches the Rfam family "Bacterial small subunit ribosomal RNA", at positions 8 to 429 of the family's 1533-position model. The record is from RNAcentral.